AGAGUUUGAUCCUGGCUCAGGAUGAACGCUGGCGGCGUGCCUAAUACAUGCAAGUCGAGCGAACGGACGAGAAGCUUGCUUCUCUGAUGUUAGCGGCGGACGGGUGGGUAACACGUGGAUAACCUACCUAUAAGACUGGGAUAACUUCGGGAAACCGGAGCUAAUACCGGAUAAUAUUUUGAACCGCAUGGUUCAAAAGUGAAAGACGGUCUUGCUGUCACUUAUAGAUGGAUCCGCGCUGCAUUAGCUAGUUGGUAAGGUAACGGCUUACCAAGGCAACGAUGCAUAGCCGACCUGAGAGGGUGAUCGGCCACACUGGAACUGAGACACGGUCCGGACUCCUACGGGAGGCAGCAGUAGGGAAUCUUCCGCAAUGGGCGAAAGCCUGACGGAGCAACGCCGCGUGAGUGAUGAAGGUCUUCGGAUCGUAAAACUCUGUUAUUAGGGAAGAACAUAUGUGUAAGUAACUGUGCACAUCUUGACGGUACCUAAUCAGAAAGCCACGGCUAACUACGUGCCAGCAGCCGCGGUAAUACGUAGGUGGCAAGCGUUAUCCGGAAUUAUUGGGCGUAAAGCGCGCGUAGGCGGUUUUUUAAGUCUGAUGUGAAAGCCCACGGCUCAACCGUGGAGGGUCAUUGGAAACUGGAAAACUUGAGUGCAGAAGAGGAAAGUGGAAUUCCAUGUGUAGCGGUGAAAUGCGCAGAGAUAUGGAGGAACACCAGUGGCGAAGGCGACUUUCUGGUCUGUAACUGACGCUGAUGUGCGAAAGCGUGGGGAUCAAACAGGAUUAGAUACCCUGGUAGUCC
This 806-nucleotide ribosomal RNA is filed under the name uncultured bacterium. RNAcentral describes it as "bacterial SSU rRNA". It matches the Rfam family "Bacterial small subunit ribosomal RNA", at positions 8 to 796 of the family's 1533-position model. The record is from RNAcentral.